GCUAUUCCGAUCUGGCCAUCAAGGCCCUUGUGAAGCCUCAGGUCACCAAGCCCAAGAUGCCAAAGGGCCCCAGCUGCAAACUCAGCCGCCUGGCUUUCAUCGCUCACCCCAAGCUUGGGAAGCAGAUUCGAAGCAACA
Non-coding RNA from Arvicanthis niloticus (Nile rat), 138 nucleotides. The record is from RefSeq and is a predicted model, not a curated record. NCBI's taxonomy places the organism in Eukaryota, Metazoa, Chordata, Mammalia, Rodentia, Muridae.